CGCAAGGCUAUUGCUGCAAGUAGGCUGGGGGGAGAAGGCCCAAGGAUUCCUUUCCGAGCCCGCCUUCGUUUCAUUCCGCUCCUGCUCACAAACCUGAGUUUUUCAAAAGAGGUGGUGAGAAAGAAGCUUAAAUGAGAUGAUUGCACUACUGUGGAUUGUUAUUGUACUGAUGAUGGUGAUCGUUAGUCCGAAGCUGAUUUUGAUCGCCGCCGAAAAUCCAGAAUUGUCUUCUCUCAUGAUGCUGCGGCUCACUACAGUCGAAAUGGUCUCUGUAUAGCGUACAACAACAGGCCCAAUGGUCUUUGGAAAAAAACUAUGACCAUCUGUGUAUAUGGUCAAAAUAUUUAUUUCUAUCCGUUGAACGGAACCAGACACUAAAUAGUGCGAGUGGCACUCAUCUUUGUUUAUAUUAUUUUCCAUUUGCUCAUCAUUUAUUUCUUAGACGCUAGUUUAUUAUGUAUGUAAAAGUUUCGUCUAUGAAUAGAUGUCAUAACAACAAA
Cimex lectularius (bed bug) is the source of this 500-nucleotide long non-coding RNA. RefSeq lists it as uncharacterized. The transcript has 3 exons. The record is from RefSeq and is a predicted model, not a curated record. NCBI's taxonomy places the organism in Eukaryota, Metazoa, Arthropoda, Insecta, Hemiptera, Cimicidae.